RNAcentral lists this ribosomal RNA (492 nucleotides) under uncultured bacterium. RNAcentral describes it as "partial 16S ribosomal RNA". It matches the Rfam family "Bacterial small subunit ribosomal RNA", at positions 29 to 507 of the family's 1533-position model. The record is from RNAcentral.
AGUGAACGCUGGCGGUAGGCCUAACACAUGCAAGUCGAACGGCAGCACAGUAAGAGCUUGCUCUUACGGGUGGCGAGUGGCGGACGGGUGAGGAAUACAUCGGAAUCUACUUUUUCGUGGGGGAUAACGUAGGGAAACUUACGCUAAUACCGCAUACGACCUACGGGUGAAAGCAGGGGAUCUUCGGACCUUGCGCGAUUGAAUGAGCCGAUGUCGGAUUAGCUAGUUGGCGGGGUAAAGGCCCACCAAGGCGACGAUCCGUAGCUGGUCUGAGAGGAUGAUCAGCCACACUGGAACUGAGACACGGUCCAGACUCCUACGGGAGGCAGCAGUGUGGAAUAUUGGACAAUGGGCGCAAGCCUGAUCCAGCCAUACCGCGUGGGUGAAGAAGGCCUUCGGGUUGGAAAGCCCUUUUGUUGGGAAAGAAAAGCAGCAGGUUAAUACCCCGCUGUUCUGACGGUACCCAAAGAAUAAGCACCGGCUAACUUCGUG